Non-coding RNA from Triticum aestivum (bread wheat), 105 nucleotides. Lineage: Eukaryota; Viridiplantae; Streptophyta; Magnoliopsida; Poales; Poaceae. The record is from Rfam.
AAAAUACUCCCUCCGUCCCAAAAUAAGUGUCUCAGCUCUAGUACAACUUUGCACUGAAGUUAGUACAAAGUUGAGACACUUAUUUUGGGACGGAGGGAGUAUUAU